Molecule: non-coding RNA, 24 nt
Filed under: Arabidopsis thaliana (thale cress)
Lineage: Eukaryota; Viridiplantae; Streptophyta; Magnoliopsida; Brassicales; Brassicaceae
Source: RNAcentral
UCCUAGUGUUUCUCCUGAUCGAUA